GGUGUACAGUGGAGUGUGUGGUGGAAAAACUCCAGAAGGGCAUUGCAGCUCCAAAAAGGCUGUGCUACAUGCUGGGGUUGAAAACAAACAAAGAGAGGUAGGAGGUCCAAGAACAAUAAGAAUGGGUUAAAGGAUGGAGGCCUGGAAGGGAGUGGGGGAAGGAGGAGAGAACAUCUAGAAGAAAUAGGGGAGGAGAGAAGAGAAAAGGGAGAAAUAGAAGAAAAAGAUUUAUUUUAGUAGAGAGGCUCUGGACUUACAAUCACAUUACAAGACUAAGUUCAAGUCUAGGUAUUGGCCUUCAACAAGCCUUUAAACUUCCCUAAGCUUCAGUUUUCUUAUCUGUAUAAUGCUACAGUGCAAUUGUAAGGAAACAAAAUUUACUUAUGUUCUGAGGACUUCAACCAAAAGAUCAGCAAUCCCUGCAAAGCAACAACUCUUCAAAAAAUGUAGGAAUUGAAAUGUUUUGCUAAGGUACAAAGAUUUAGAACUUCAAGGAACCUGAGAAGUAAUCUACUCCAUUCUCCUCAUUUGUAUGAUGAGGAAACUGGGAUCAAGAUACAUUACAUACUUAUGAAAGGUCACACAGAGAGGUAAGAUGCGAGGGUAUCUUCUUCCAGAGAAAAAAAGAAAAGAACAAGUCUUUAUGAAGUCAUACCACAUCUAAAGGAAUUCUCAGUAGUCUACCCUGAUGCUUGUAAACAGUACCAAGCUCACUCAGUUUCCAAAGCAAUGACUUUGUGAGUAGACUUCUGGAAGGGACCACAAGGGAAGUAAGUAAUUGGUUUACUCUGUUUCCAUGGAUGUGGAUGGAGUAAGACUGGGUUAAACCAACAAGUGUACAGGCAGAGAAUCUACCCAGUAUGUCUAUAGACUGAGGCAUAUUACUGGUGCUUUGGAGGAAAUCUUCUCUUGAACUUCAAGAACCUAUAAAUGCAGGGCCCAAGGUAGAAAUGGCUAGUGGGAGCUUUUACUUCUCUCCACAAUCCCAGUCUCUGUACUAUAUUUCUUAGAUCACCAAACCUGGGACCAAGAGAAACAAACAUAGAAUGAAUGUGAAAAUAGAGCCAUCUUCACCACAAUUCCUUAAAUGAGGACAUUUAGACUACCUUAACUUUUGGUCUCAAUUGUUCCCUCCCCAUUACUCAGAAAUAUUCUCAUCCAUCAACCCCAGCUGAGUUGUACAGCUGAACAGAAAUCACGACACAUCAGAGAAACCAAAAGAGUGUCAUCUCUGCUCUGGGAACCAGUCUCAUUCAGAUACAUUCAUAAUUUUAACAGAACUUUGCACAAUUUUGUUCCAUUUUAUUUUAAAUGAAUGAGUCAGAGCUGAAGCAACAUCAGGCAUUUGGUUGAAGUCUAAGGAAAGAAUAAGAAAGAUUUUUUUAACCAAUUGAACCAAAUCUAGAAUCCAAAGUUUGAAAGAAGAUUCAUGCUAACUCAAAAGUAGACAUUGAUUUCUAUCAAAUUAUAAAGUAAUAAAACCACAGGUUUGGAAUUUUGGAUUUGAAAUUAUCACUCUGUGACUGGAAGGAAAGCAGUCAAUUAGAUGAGAUUAACUGGAUCAGAAUGCAACUCAAUUUUAAAGUCUUACGUGCUACUUCUUUUUCCUCUGAAUAAUCCUAAUUGAAUAUAUCUUUGAAUUGUAAAUUGCAUUUUUCAGCAAUGGAACUGGAGAUUUUUUUUAAUAGUCUCCUCUGGAAGAAGGGUUUUAUUGAUUAGACUUUUAGGUUGUAAGGCAGUGAUUUUUUUUAAAAAAAAUGAUAGUGAUGGAGAUGGGAACAGACUUUUCCUACCAAUUUUUAAUUCUCAGAACUGGUGGGGGGAAGCUCAUUUAACCAUGACAACAGAGGUAUCUAU
Molecule: long non-coding RNA, 1857 nt
Organism: Sarcophilus harrisii (Tasmanian devil)
Lineage: Eukaryota; Metazoa; Chordata; Mammalia; Dasyuromorphia; Dasyuridae
Source: Ensembl